Molecule: transfer RNA, 72 nt
Filed under: Camelus bactrianus (Bactrian camel)
Lineage: Eukaryota; Metazoa; Chordata; Mammalia; Artiodactyla; Camelidae
Also listed under: 2 other names
Rfam family: tRNA
About the family: Transfer RNA (tRNA) molecules are approximately 80 nucleotides in length. Their secondary structure includes four short double-helical elements and three loops (D, anti-codon, and T loops). Further hydrogen bonds mediate the characteristic L-shaped molecular structure. tRNAs have two regions of fundamental functional importance: the anti-codon, which is responsible for specific mRNA codon recognition, and the 3' end, to which the tRNAs corresponding amino acid is attached (by aminoacyl-tRNA synthetases). tRNAs cope with the degeneracy of the genetic code in two manners: having more than one tRNA (with a specific anti-codon) for a particular amino acid; and 'wobble' base-pairing, i.e. permitting non-standard base-pairing at the 3rd anti-codon position.
Source: Rfam by way of RNAcentral
GGGGGCAGAGCUCAGUGGUAGAGCGUGUGCUUAGCAUGUAUGAGGUCCUAGGCUCAACCCCCAGUACCUCCA